This 408-nucleotide ribosomal RNA is filed under the name uncultured bacterium. Its description in RNAcentral is "bacterial SSU rRNA". It matches the Rfam family "Bacterial small subunit ribosomal RNA", at positions 355 to 775 of the family's 1533-position model. The record is from RNAcentral.
UGGGGAAUAUUGCGCAAUGGGCGAAAGCCUGACGCAGCGACGCCGCGUGGGGGAUGAAUGCCUUCGGGUUGUAAACCCCUUUCGGCAGGGACGAAGCGAACGUGACGGUACCUGCAGAAGAAGUCCCGGCUAACUACGUGCCAGCAGCCGCGGUAAGACGUAGGGGACGAGCGUUGUCCGGAUUCAUUGGGCGUAAAGCGCGCGUAGGCGGUUACGCAAGUCGGUUGUGAAAAUCCGGGGCUCAACCCCGGACCUGCAUCCGAUACUGCGUGACUAGAGGUAGGUAGGGGAGAUCGGAAUUCCUGGUGUAGCGGUGAAAUGCGCAGAUAUCAGGAGGAACACCGGUGGCGAAGGCGGAUCUCUGGGCCUUACCUGACGCUCAGGCGCGAAAGCUAGGGGAGCGAACAG